RNAcentral lists this ribosomal RNA (253 nucleotides) under uncultured bacterium. RNAcentral describes it as "partial 16S ribosomal RNA". It matches the Rfam family "Bacterial small subunit ribosomal RNA", at positions 524 to 776 of the family's 1533-position model. The record is from RNAcentral.
UACGUAGGGGGCAAGCGUUGUCCGGAUUUAUUGGGCGUAAAGCGCGUGUAGGCGGUCAGAUAGGUCUGCUGUGAAAACUCGAGGCUCAACCUCGAGCUGUCGGCGGAAACCAUCUGGCUAGAGUCCGGAAGAGGAGAGUGGAAUUCAUGGUGUAGCAGUGAAAUGCGUAGAGAUCAUGAGGAAGACCAGUGGCGAAGGCGGGUCUCUGGACAGUUCCUGACACUGAGGCACGAAGGCCAGGGGAGCAAACGGG